GUGAGGAAUAUUGCACAAUGGGCGGAAGCCUGNUCCAGCCAUGCCGCGUGGACGACGAAGGCCUUCGGGUCGUAAAGUCCUUUUCUGAGAGAAGAAGAUCCCGUGGAGGAAAUGCUGCGGGAGUGACGGUACCUCAGGAAUAAGCCACGGCAAACUCCGUGCCAGCAGCCGCGGUAAUACGGAGGUGGCUAGCGUUGUUCGGAAUGACUGGGCGUAAAGGGGGCGCAGGCGGCCUGGCAAGUCUGAAGUGUAAGCCCGGGGCUUAACCUCGGGACUGCUUUGGAUACUGCUAGGCUUGAGUACGGAAGAGGAAGGCGGAAUUCCAGGUGUAGCGGUGAAAUGCGUAGAUAUCUGGAGGAACACCCGUGGCGAAAGCGGCCUUCUGGUCCGAUACUGACGCUGAGGCCCGAAAGCGUGGGGAGCAAACAGGAUUAGAUACCCUGGUAGUCCACGCCGUAAACGUUGUGCGCUAGGUGUAGGAGGUAUUCGACCCCUUCUGUGCCGCAGCUAACGCAUUAAGCGCACCGCCUGGGGAGUACGGCCGCAAGGCUGAACUCAAAGGAAUUGACGGGGGCCCGCACAAGCGGUGGAGCAUGUGGUUUAAUUCGAGGCAACGCGAAAACCUUACCAAGCUUGACAUNCCGGGACCGCCUGUGAAGCAGGUUUCCCUUNGGGACCCGGGGACAGGUGUUCAUGGNUGUCNUCAGCUUGNGUCGNGAAUUGUUGGGUAAGNCCCCAACGAGCCCACC
Molecule: ribosomal RNA, 749 nt
Filed under: uncultured bacterium
Lineage: Bacteria
Description: bacterial SSU rRNA
Rfam family: Bacterial small subunit ribosomal RNA
Source: RNAcentral